GAUGAACGCUGGCUACAGGCUUAACACAUGCAAGUCGAGGGGAAACGCCGGGGAAGCUUGCUUCCCCGGGCGUCGACCGGCGCACGGGUGAGUAACGCGUAUCCAACCUGCCUCUGACUGAGGGAUAACCCGUCGAAAGUCGGCCUAAUACCUCAUGGUAUCAUCUGCGGGCAUCCAACGACGAUUAAAGAUUUCAUCGGUCAGGGAUGGGGAUGCGUCUGAUUAGCUUGUUGGCGGGGUAACGUCCCACCAAGGCUACGAUCAGUAGGGGUUCUGAGAGGAAGGUCCCCCACAUUGGAACUGAGACACGGACCAAACUCCUACGGGAGGCAGCAGUGAGGAAUAUUGGUCAAUGGGCGAGAGCCUGAACCAGCCAAGUAGCGUGCAGGAAGACGGCCCUAUGGGUUGUAAACUGCUGUUAUGCGGGGAUAAAGUGAGGGACGUGUCCCUCAUUGCAGGUACCGCAUGAAUAAGGACCGGCUAAUUCCGUG
Molecule: ribosomal RNA, 491 nt
Filed under: uncultured bacterium
Lineage: Bacteria
Description: partial 16S ribosomal RNA
Rfam family: Bacterial small subunit ribosomal RNA
Source: RNAcentral